UGAUUCCGCAAUAAGGCCUUG
Molecule: non-coding RNA, 21 nt
Filed under: Caenorhabditis elegans
Lineage: Eukaryota; Metazoa; Nematoda; Chromadorea; Rhabditida; Rhabditidae
Source: RNAcentral